Molecule: ribosomal RNA, 777 nt
Filed under: Gammarus balcanicus
Lineage: Eukaryota; Metazoa; Arthropoda; Malacostraca; Amphipoda; Gammaridae
Description: eukaryotic LSU rRNA
Rfam family: Eukaryotic large subunit ribosomal RNA
Source: RNAcentral
UAAGUCAGCCACGAAUAGGCUAUCCCAACUAACGGCGGGAAAGACUCCACGGAGGGUGUAAGACCCGUGUGGGCGCGUGUUAAAGCUGUGUGGGCUCGGCCUCUUUUCCCUGAGAGUCGCGUUGCUUGAGCAUGCAGCGCUAAGCAGGUCGUAAACUCGAUCUAAGGCUGAAUAUGUCCACAGAACCGAUAGCGAACAAGUACCGUGAGGGAAAGUUGAAAAGCACUCUGGAGAGAGAGUCAAAAGACCGUGAAACCGCUCAGAGUAUAAGCCCAUGGCAGCUUGGAAGGCAUAUCGCUAGCGGGGCAUCGGUCUUCCUUCGCGGGGAGCUGGUGUUACCUUGCUUCUGUUGUGGCUCGUUAUGGUAGGGGGGUCAAGUCCACAUCCCGCCGUCGUGUGGGGGGUUCUCGGGUGUGUUGUGGUUUCUCGGUUGGCUUCGGCUGGCCGGGGGGCCCUUCGUGCUCGGUUCCUCUUUAGACACGGACGUUCAGACUCAGAGGCAAGACGCGAUAAACAGCCCACCACGGCACGUUUGUGAGGUCACCCACAGACUCGACUUUCGAUCGUGAGCCUUGACGCCGAGCAAGCACAAUGCGUGUCGCUGAGGUUCCUAACCAGGCAACGGUGCCAGGAUCGUGGAACGACACGCGCUCAACAGUCAGGUUCGGGCGGAGACAGAGUUCUGGUAUGAUCCUCUUGCGACGAGCCGGCUUCUGGCCGAUAUCCGAUGCUCAGGUCUCCCGCAUGUGCCGCGGGAGAUCGCCUUGACGGUCUGGA